CAGCCGCCGCGGGAAUACGGAGGGUGCAAGCGUUAUCCGGAUUUAUUGGGUUUAAAGGGUCCGUAGGCGGAUCUGUAAGUCAGUGGUGAAAUCUCACAGCUUAACUGUGAAACUGCCAUUGAUACUGCAGGUCUUGAGUAAAUUUGAAGUGGCUGGAAUAAGUAGUGUAGCGGUGAAAUGCAUAGAUAUUACUUAGAACACCAAUUGCGAAGGCAGGUCACUAAGAUUUAACUGAUGCUGAUGGACGAAAGCGUGGGGAGCGAACAGGAUUAGAUACCCCAGUAGUCCCUGUCUCUUAUAC
Molecule: ribosomal RNA, 301 nt
Filed under: uncultured bacterium
Lineage: Bacteria
Description: partial 16S ribosomal RNA
Rfam family: Bacterial small subunit ribosomal RNA
Source: RNAcentral